GAUGAACGCUGGCGGCGUGCCUAAUACAUGCAAGUCGAGCGAACGGGCGAGAAGCUUGCUUCUCUGAUGUUAGCGGCGGACGGGUGAGUAACACGUGGAUAACCUACCUAUAAGACUGGGAUAACUUCGGGAAACCGGAGCUAAUACCGGAUAAUAUUUUGAACCGCAUGGUUCAAAAGUGAAAGACGGUCUUGCUGUCACUUAUAGAUGGAUCCGCGCUGCAUUAGCUAGUUGGUGAGGUAACGGCUUACCAAGGCAACGAUGCAUAGCCGACCUGAGAGGGUGAUCGGCCACACUGGAACUGAGACACGGUCCAGACUCCUACGGGAGGCAGCAGUAGGGAAUCUUCCGCAAUGGGCGAAAGCCUGACGGAGCAACGCCGCGUGAGUGAUGAAGGUCUUCGGAUCGUAAAACUCUGUUAUUAGGGAAGAACAUAUGUGUAAGUAACUGUGCACAUCUUGACGGUACCUAAUCAGAAAGCCACGGCUAACUACGUG
RNAcentral lists this ribosomal RNA (497 nucleotides) under uncultured bacterium. Its description in RNAcentral is "partial 16S ribosomal RNA". It matches the Rfam family "Bacterial small subunit ribosomal RNA", at positions 28 to 507 of the family's 1533-position model. The record is from RNAcentral.